AUUGAACGCUGGCGGCAGGCCUAACACAUGCAAGUCGAACGGCAGAACCGUACUUGCUUCUUGGUUCGGGGGCGGACGGGUGGCUAAUGGCUGAGUAUCUCGUUAGUUGUGUGUUAUAAGGUCGGGAAAAGGGGGCUAAUACGGCAUUAAUCCUCAGGAGGAAAGGGGGGAAGCUUCGGACCUUGCGAAAUCAGAUGAUCAUAUGGCGGAUUAGCUAGUUGGUGGGGUGGAGGCACACCGGGGCGACGAUCCGCAAGUGGUCUGAGAGUAUGAGCAGUCACACUGGAACUGAGACACGGUCCAGACUCAUACGGGAGGCAGCAGUGGGGAAGAUUGGACAAUGGGCGCAAGCCUGAUCCAGCCAUACCGCGUGUGUGAAGAAGGUCUUCGGAUUGUAAAGCACUUUUAGUUGGGAGGAAGAGCAGUAAGUUAAUACGGUGCUGUUGUGACGGUACCGAAAGAAUAAGCACCGGCUAACUUCGUG
RNAcentral lists this ribosomal RNA (484 nucleotides) under uncultured bacterium. Its description in RNAcentral is "partial 16S ribosomal RNA". It matches the Rfam family "Bacterial small subunit ribosomal RNA", at positions 30 to 507 of the family's 1533-position model. The record is from RNAcentral.